RNAcentral lists this long non-coding RNA (6645 nucleotides) under Homo sapiens (human). RNAcentral's name for it is "HSALNT0204566". The record is from RNAcentral. Lineage: Eukaryota; Metazoa; Chordata; Mammalia; Primates; Hominidae.
AAUUGAUUCAUGGGUGUUGGUCUUUCCGGUGCUAUUCUCAUGAUAGUGAAUAAGUCUCAUGAGAUCUGAUGCGUUUAUCAGGGGUUUCCGCUUUUGUUUCUUCCACAAUUUCUCUUGCCCUGGCCAUGUGAGAAGAGCCUUUUGUCUCCGGCCAUGAUUAUGAGACCUCCCCAGCCAUGUGGAACUGUAAGUAAAAUUAAGCGUCCUUUUCUUCCCAGUCUCGGGUAUGUCUUUAUCAGCAGAAAAAAAAAAAAAAAAAAAAAAAAAAGACUAAUACACUGUAUUACUAAAAUAAUAAUAAGACAAUCAAAUGUUAUUUUAACAGGUUAAACUUAGGUAAUAAAUUGUUUCCCAUUUAAAUUGCUUUCCUCUAAAACUUAUUCCUUUCAUUUUUAAUACCUUCAACUGAAUAACCAAAACGGGAAAUAAAGGCAUGAAUCUAGAGACUUUCAUCUUGUUCAGCUCUCUCCAAUUUGUCACUAUAAUAUAAGCUAUAAACAUCUUUACCAUCUCUGUGAUAUAUCCCUUUAUUUUCACCAGGACGACCAAUGCAUUGGGCUUAGGUCUCACUGUCUUCCAACCAGAAAACUGUAACAUUAAUCUUAAUUAUUUUCCUGUCAUGCACUAACCAUUUAAAUUAAAUAAAUGUUGAAAUUUGUGAAUUGGUUUCCUUGUAGUUCCCUGCGGAAGAUUAUAUCUGAAUCAUUACAAGAAAGAAGAAAGAUACUUAUACUAUGGAUUGGGGGCAAGUUAGUUCUAGCCAGAAGUAACAGUCAAUGAGACGGCCCUAAGGUUCGGGAUUGCAUCUGGCAGAGUGAAGGAACAGAGGAGAGGCCAUUGUGUGAUUAGAAUUGAGUGAGUAACAGAAAGAAAGGAGGGAGUCAAUGGGAUAAACUGAAGUGACUCAUCAAGAACAUGUAAUAAAACCCUCAAACACAGAUUACAUUAUGAAUAAAAUUAACUGCUGAAAAAGAACGGAAAGCAACAGAUGAUCAUCAAGAAAAGAUGAAAUUUAAGUAAUCAGGUUUGAUGGGUACUUGUUUCUACUUAAAUGUCUGUAUCAUAUUGCACCUGGCCAAGUUCACUGCUAUAUCUGUCCCGGAAGGGGAAAAAACAGAGUCCUUCACUUCUAGUACAAGGGUAAAUUCUUGAUGGGAAAAUUCAAACAGAAAAAGUGAGCAUUGGUGAGUUAAAAGGAUUUCAAACAAGAGUGAAUAAAACAAAGUUCACACCUCUCCAGCUGAAGACAAGGACAAACUAAAGCCUUCCCUUGGCACCUGAAGCAUUCAACCGGACUAAGACGGCCCCUCUCUAGAAUUGUGAACACUUGUUUCUAAAAUAAUACCUACAUGCCAUUCUAGUCCCUUCUAUAGUGUGUAUUUUGCUUUUUCAGUCCAAAACAUGUCAAUGUAUAUGUAUUUUAAAUUACACUGAAUGUAAAAAAAGCAUAGUACUUACGUAGCAGAAUAAAUUAAUUUUGUUCUACGUGUUCUGUAUUUAAGGGACACAUGCCUCAUGUACUUUCAUGGGAAAUGAAAAUUUCAAUGGUGGAUCGUCCUCUAACUCUAUUCUCCAGGAUGGAAAUGUCACUAGUAAUCAACAAUAGGCAGGUGAGACGAAUUUUGGUGGAGAAGUAGAGAAGGCUUGUCCAUUUGCUUGUGUCAAUGACACUACCCUGUAAAAUUUGUGUAAUCCAGAAACCACACUUUUUGUGUGAUUUACAAAAACUGGAUUACAAAAAGCUACAGCAUGAAGAUACUUUGAUUUAUCUUUCUGAAAAACUUACUGUAAGUCCAUUUUUUAAAUUUUACUUCAAAUCACCUACAAAUGACAUUUUUAUUUGUUUACAUCCAGUGGCAGUUAGUCUAUCAUAGUAGUAUUGAGAGGUGACAACGUGCUAGCAGCCCUUGCUCGCUCUCGGCGCCUCCUCUGCCUUGGCGUCCGCUCUCGAGGAGCCCUUCAGCCCACCACUGUGCUGUAGGGGCCCCUCUCUGGAGCUGGCCGAGGCCGGAGCCGGCUCCCCUCUGCUCUCCGAGAGGUGUGGAGGGAAAGGCGCGGGCGGGAGCAGGGGCUGUGCGCCCCGCUCCUACACCGGUGCAGCUUCGGGGUGGGCGCAGGCUCCGAGGGCCAGCACUAGGAGCUGCCAGCCAGCGCCUGCUGGGCUUGAUGGGGGGACGAUCUCCCUCUGGGCUGCUGGAGUGGCCUGGCUAGGUGCCACAAAGUCCCAUGGCGAGUGCCAUUGACAGGCGAAGCCGGCUGGGUUUCUGGGUCUGGUGGGGACCUGGAGAACUUUUGUGUCUAGCUAAAGGUUUGUAAAUGCACCAAUCAGCACUCUGUGUCUAACCAAAGGUUUGUAAAUGCACCAAUCAGCACUCUGUCUCUAGCUAAUCGGGUAGGGGACUUGGAGAACUUUUGUGUCUAGCUAAAGGAUUGUAAAUGCACCAAUCAGCGCUCUGUGUCUAGCUAAAGGUUUGUAAACGCACCAUUCAGUGCUCUGUCAAGACAGACCAAUCAGCUUUCUGUAAAACGGACCAAUUAGCUCUCUGUAAAAUGGACCAAUCAGUAGGAUGUGGGUGGGGCCAGAUAAGGGAAUAAAAACAGGCCGCCCCAGCCAGCAGGGGCAACCUGCUGGGGUCCUCUUUAAUGCAGUGGUAACUUUGUUCUUUCCCUCUUCCCAGUAAAUCUUGUUGCUGCUCACUCUUUGGGUCUGUGCCACCUUUGUAGCUGUAACACUAACCGCUAAGGUCUGUAGCUUCACUCCUGAGGCCAGCUAGACUACAAACCCACUGGGAGGUUGGAACAUCUGGAAGGGAGGAACAUCCGGAAGGGAGGAAGAAACAACUCCAGACUCACCGCCUUUAAGAAUCGUAACACUCACCACAAAGGUCUGCAGCUUCACUCCUGGAGUCAGUGAGAUCACGAACCCAACAGAAGGAACAAACUCCGGACACACCAACUUUAAGAACUGUAACCCUCACCACGAGGGUCUGCUGCUUCAUUCUUGAAGUCAGCAAGACCAAGAACCCACCAAUUCUGGACACAGUAUCCCUUGAUUUAUCAAGAUAUAAUGAAAACCUACAAUGUAACAGGUAAUGUGUAACAUAUUGGUGUUAAAAAGAUGAUAAAAUUAAAAUAUAGUUUCUGUCCUUAGAGAGUUCAUGUCUAAUAGGAGAUAGACAAGCAAAUAAGCUAUUGUAAAUUAAAAAAAAAACUUAUUAUGGUAAAAAUAGAAAUUAUUUGUCUUUAAAAAUGGUGUGUUUAAUACACAAAAACAUUUUAUUAGUUCACCAUAACCUUUACCUCUACCUAUGUUUGAGCUCGAGUUGUCUAGAUUCAUCUAGGCUCUUAUAGGUAGCUUACUGCCUCAUAAAUUUCAAACUAUCUUUAGUUCUUUGGUACACGCAGUCAAUUCAAACCACAGACCUUCUUCACAUAAAAGUCAGAUUGAUUACUUGAUAUUCCAUGCUCAUCCUAAAAGGAAUUAUGCUCACUGACCUUGAUAUACUCACUGACCUUGUUUGACUACACUUUUCGACAGAUUGGCUGUUCUGGUUCUAUAUAGGGAAGGAUUGUAUAGGCAAUGAAUGAGAAGAAUUUCAUAAAUUUAUAUCUUUCCAGGUAAAGUUGUGAAUAAUACAAUUUAUCAAUUUCAAAAAAUGGAAAAGAAAAAUGAGGAGGGAAUUUACAUGCAUAUGAAAACAGAGAUAUGUGAGGUUGAAGGAAAAUAAAAGUUUAAAAUAGAUCAGAAAUAUUUGGAUUUUUAACAUUAAAAUUCGAGUACGUUUUCAUAGCGAGCUUGCUCUGCUCCUUCAUGAAUAUACAUGUAACUAAAACCAACACUCCUAAAAUCUUACGAGAAUUAAGAAACCAAUUAAAAAACAAAACAUUAAAAGAGAGGACUAUUUGGAAACAACUAAAUCGGAGAGGCAGGCAAUUAAUAGUUUGAAUAACAAAGGGAAACUAGCAAAAAGUCAAUUAGAAGUUAAAUACAUGAAAUUUUAAAUCACUUAAACAAAAGCUAACUUCUAAUUUUGUUGCAGGCAAGUCAUUGACUUUUAAAAAAUAUACUUGAAAAGUAUGUAACCAUUAUGCUACUUCAUAUUCCUAAUAAACAACGUGAGGGGGAACUGUUUUCUGCUUUCAGUCAGCUUCUAAAAGGAUCAAAAUAUUUUUACCACUCAUAUGUAAGCUCUAUCUCCACAGAGAAUCUUGUGUUUUAUUCAUCAUGGUAGCCAAGGUUUGGUUCAAUUGCUGUCAUUCCAUUUUAACACAUGCUAGGCAUUGAAAUAUAUGAUUAGAAUUAGCAUUGACUGAGUCUUUGGCAAGAUUAUUCAUUGAAAUGCCCCUUUAUGUUUCAUUCGCACUGCUUCAGAUAAUUAGAAGGAAAAUGUGAAAAGAAUUAAGAGUCAAACUGGUUUUAGCUUCUUACGUGGCUCCUCCACUUAUUUCAAAGGAAAAGCUUGGUGUUAUGCAUGACAACUGGCGCAUCCCUCGUCCUUAAUGUAGAAUUAGGUGUCUUUAGGUGAAAAAACCAAAGAAUUUAGGAAAAACUUACUUUUUUUGUAAUAAGAAAGUGAUUCUAGGUCUUGAAGACUAAAAAAAGGGUGACCAAAAUCAUCAGAAUGUGAAACAGCUUCCCUCAAGAUUGGAAAAUUUUCCAUCAAUAUAGGGAAUGACAGGAUUUAGGAUCUGAAUAGAAGCAAAAACCCUUGCCUAUGUCCCAGUAAGUGGCGACAGUAGCAAAAUCUUACAUGGAAGAGUUGGGGGUUGUUGUACACUGAAGAAUAAAUUCAAGAAGUCAGGGCUUUUUAGCCCUAGCAAAUUGAAAUCCCCACCAUUCUGGCCAUAUUAUAGGAGGAGAAGUUAAACUGAGUUUAGAAAAUGAAAAAUGAUCUCAGCGAAGUCACCAGUAAAAGAGGAGUCUUCACUGGCCACACUUACUAGGUUAAUUAAUUCCCAGUAUUAUCUGAUCUCAUAGCACCACACCUUUACAACAAUUAUCAGAGUUAAUACUUUAUAUUUAUUUGCUAGGUUUGCUGUUAAGAAUGUAAUCUCCAACAGCAGAUGUCAUGCCUAGUUUUUCACCCUCUUCUAGACUAAAAAAGUCCCAUACUAAAAGUAAAGUUGGUGAAUGAAUUAAUGUGCACUCUAUUGCAUACUCAAGCCUACCACAAGUCAUAUAUGGAAAAAAAAACCUCUUGAAAGUAAUUUAUAAAGAAACUGAUACUAGAUAUAUGAAUUAGACACAAUGUUUGAAUUAUCAAAUUGAGAUAAAACAUUCGAAAGAAAAGUGAUAUAUAGAAAUGUCUUUCAUAGGAAAGCCAUAAGUUGCUACGGUCCAUAAUGCUGAUGUCCUUCAGAUAUAAAAUUGGCCCUUCCAAAUAGGCAGUAAGAUGUUUGCCACCAUUGGUGUUACCGAUUAUUUUAAAGCUCAAAAUACAAAUGACUAGAAUGUAUUUAUUUGUUUGUUUAUUUUUCUACUUCAGUGAGUGUAAUAUGUAGUUUACAACAAAUUGAAUAUCAAAUACUAGGAUAGUAUUAACCUCUUAAAACUGCAGGAUGCAGGGUAAUUCAGUAAAUUAAGGCACAUUAAGAAAACGUAGUAUAUGAUGUAAAUUAUAAGAGAUUGAGAAAGUCACCCAGACAAUGUAAAAGUUCUUGCCCUACUCACUCAUACAAAUAAUUAUUUUGCCAAGUUCUUAGCAAAAUACACUAGGUGUCUCAUGACAGAAACAAAGUGUCUAUGGUAAUACAAUUUGAGUUUCUGUGGCAGUGAGUGAGAAUGAAUGUGCUUACAAUUAUUGGUUUUAUAUGUAUAUAUAUAUGCAUAUUAUAUAUGCAUAUAACAUAUAUAAUUUUAUCCAGUUAUUGGUUAUCUAUGUAUCAUUUAUGUAAUGUGAAUUUCAUUUGUUCAGCCGGACUGUUUUAAACCAUAAUGCUAAAUAAAUAUGUGAAUAUUAUCAAUUUACUCAGCCUCCCAAUGCUUCAGUUUUCUUACUUCUACAAUAGACAUAAUAAUGAUAUUUCAAAUAAAACAUGGUUCUGAGGAGCAAACAAAGUGUAAUAAAUAUAAAGUUAUUAUAUAGUAUAUAAUUAUACUUAUAUGUAUAGUUUAGCAUAGUUUUUGACACAUAGAAAGUGAAGAAAUGAUAGACAGUAGUAAUAAUAGUAAGUAAUUAGUAAUCUGUUAAGUUGCAGGGCUUUUUCUUUUGUAUUUAAAAUAACUAUUUGAAUGUAAACUUAUUGCUAAAUCUAAUGCCAGCUGUUGUGUAUACUCUCUUAGUUUGACUAUGUUUAAUUUAUAGAGAUUUGAUGUUGCUGCAUUAUUGUUUUCUAUGUAUUUAAUUUGAUUACCUGAGACUUGAGAAAGUUAUUCUUUUAUCCAUUUAAUAAAUCGUCUAUUUUAUAUUCUAUGUUCUGAAGGAAAAACUGACAUUUAGUUAGAAAACUGAUGGAUGGGGUUAGAAAAUACAGGGAUAUUCAAAAGCAUGUUUUUUCCUGCUGUGCCAGAGGGAAUCUUUGGAAAUAUCUUUUCCUGUGGUGCUAUGAACAUUCUUUGAAUAUUUGAGAAAAUGCUCUGGUUCUCAAGUUUCAUAAAAUGUAUGAAAAUAAAAACAAGAAAUCCUAUCUAGCAAAUGAUUAAAG